CUCGUAGGCGGUUCGUCGCGUCCGGUGUGAAAGUCCAUCGCUUAACGGUGGAUCCGCGCCGGGUACGGGCGGGCUUGAGUGCGGUAGGGGAGACUGGAAUUCCCGGUGUAACGGUGGAAUGUGUAGAUAUCGGGAAGAACACCAAUGGCGAAGGCAGGUCUCUGGGCCGUCACUGACGCUGGGGAGCGAAAGCGUGGGGAGCGAACA
This 207-nucleotide ribosomal RNA is filed under the name uncultured bacterium. Its description in RNAcentral is "partial 16S ribosomal RNA". It matches the Rfam family "Bacterial small subunit ribosomal RNA", at positions 568 to 774 of the family's 1533-position model. The record is from RNAcentral.